Molecule: unclassified non-coding RNA, 247 nt
Filed under: Hevea brasiliensis (rubber tree)
Lineage: Eukaryota; Viridiplantae; Streptophyta; Magnoliopsida; Malpighiales; Euphorbiaceae
Source: RNAcentral
AAAAAUAAUGAUAUAUAUUCUUAAAUUAUAUAAAUAUAAUAUCUUUAUAAAUUAACAUAAUAGCAUUAUAGUGAAACAACUACAGGACUAAAACGAUUUAGAAUGAAAGAGAAGAUCUGCAGAAAGAAAGUCUCAAAAACUUUGGUCUUGACUCUCUUCAACUAUAAGCUCACCAUUUUUAAUCCUAUUGUGCUGCUGCUGCGGCAACGCGCAGGCCCCUUUCUAGCGAAGUUACUAUAACUGUAAA